RNAcentral lists this unclassified non-coding RNA (286 nucleotides) under uncultured Metarhizium. RNAcentral describes it as "sequence contains ITS2". The stretch from base 1 to 52 matches the Rfam family "5.8S ribosomal RNA", at positions 103 to 154 of the family's 154-position model. The record is from RNAcentral. Lineage: Eukaryota; Fungi; Ascomycota; Sordariomycetes; Hypocreales; Clavicipitaceae.
AACGCACAUUGCGCCCGCCAGUAUUCUGGCGGGCAUGCCUGUUCGAGCGUCAUUACAACCCUCAAGCCCCCCGGCUUGGUGUUGGGGACCGGCCACCGGUGCCCUGCUGCUUCCGCGGCAGGCGCGCCCGGCCGCCCCCGAAAUGAAUUGGCGGCCCCGUCGCGGCCUCCCUCUGCGUAGUAGCACACAUCUCGCAGCUGGAGCGCGGCGCGGCCACUGCCGUAAAACGCACCAACUUUUUUUUACAGUUGACCUCGAAUCAGGUAGGAAUACCCGCUGAACUUAA